This 631-nucleotide long non-coding RNA is filed under the name Callithrix jacchus (white-tufted-ear marmoset). RNAcentral's name for it is "lncRNA (ENSCJAG00000074313.1)". Lineage: Eukaryota; Metazoa; Chordata; Mammalia; Primates; Cebidae. The record is from RNAcentral.
AGGCUGUCAACUAAGCCUCCUCCUUAGGAAGAAUCAGAGGUCAUUCCAGGGAGCCACUACAGGGUGAUCACACAGGACAGGAAGUUCUGUGUGGAAGUCUCACUUGGCCUACAAUACACCACUUCCAUUCUCACCCCUGCCUCCCAACCUUUGAGGCUGCCUUGGCCACUGCAAGGAAAUAGCGUGUUCUCUACACAAAGGGGUUCGCAGAACUCAGAGAUUCUGGCUGACAGAACUGGGCUCGUCUGAACUCCACGACAGGCUGGCUGUGCAGCUUUUUUGGCAGAGUUCUACAUGGCUGGGGAGGCUUCAGGAAACUCACAAUUAUGACAGAAGGCACGUCUUUGGAGGAUGGCAGGAGAGAGAAUGAUAGCUAAGUGAAGAGGGAAGCUGCUCAUAAAACCAUCAGAUCUCAUGAAGAAACUGAGGCACAGAGAGGUUACGUACCUUGCUGAAGGUCACACAAGCAGAGUGGUUUGACUAUGGAUCCUAGGCUUUUGAUGAAGACUUUGUAUUUCUUUGUGCAGAGUAUCUUGGACAUAAGAGGACCCCCAAAAGGAGAGAGAGAUAUUUGUUUACAGAUGAAGAAUAAAGUAAAGUAAUUAUAAGGGUAGAAGCUGAGCUGUUACUA